AAUGUGUUUAGCCGGGGCCUGAACAUCAAUCUACACAUAUCUAUACUUGUAAUGCAUUUGUAAACAAGUUCGUACCCUAAAUAUGUUCCUCUCCUAAACAUGUCGAGGAAAGUGUUUAACCCUAUAUGUAUUUAACCUGACCACAUGUUAAAGAUAAACAUGUUUGGUACUGCCUCUUAUAAAAAAGUGAAACAUUCUCAGUAAAUCACAUCAGAACUUAGAUCAGACUAAAACCUCACUUAAACUGAAUAUAUUUGUUUUUUGUAGAACAGGAGUUUAGUAUCCCAUAAAACAUAAAUCAUUAUAUAGAGACCUAGGCAGCAAAGAUAGUCAUUAGAAUCUUUUUGCAUUUGCCUGUGUUCUAUCCUUUUAAAAACCUUGCGGUGAGGCAUGGUUUCUGACAUCAGAAAAAAAAGUGAAGUAUAGGCCACUGGACGUUAAGCAACCAAGUAUUAAACCUCACCUUUCCGUGAAGUGUUUACAAUUAUUUGUAUUUUUAAAAUAAAAAAAAAAGGAUAAACAUUUCCAAAAACUGAAAAUAUUUGAGAAGACGCUAUUACCUUAGAAGUAAAAAAUUUACCAGACAGAAUAAACACGGCAGAAACAAACAAACGAAAAAAAACCAAGAGAACAAUUUGAAAUACCAUAUAUACAUGUUAAAAUCGGUAUAUACAAGCGGAUUAUAAACGGGACAGGGUUGAGCGAAC
This 707-nucleotide long non-coding RNA is filed under the name Mytilus galloprovincialis (Mediterranean mussel). Lineage: Eukaryota; Metazoa; Mollusca; Bivalvia; Mytilida; Mytilidae. The record is from RNAcentral.